AGCGAAAUAAUCUCUGAUGAUAGC
RNAcentral lists this non-coding RNA (24 nucleotides) under Arabidopsis thaliana (thale cress). Lineage: Eukaryota; Viridiplantae; Streptophyta; Magnoliopsida; Brassicales; Brassicaceae. The record is from RNAcentral.